Scylla paramamosain (green mud crab) is the source of this 2006-nucleotide long non-coding RNA. RefSeq lists it as uncharacterized. NCBI's taxonomy places the organism in Eukaryota, Metazoa, Arthropoda, Malacostraca, Decapoda, Portunidae. The transcript is spliced from 2 exons. The record is from RefSeq and is a predicted model, not a curated record.
UGUGAUAGUUAGGACCAUGCCAUAUCCCAGUAAUUUGUGGUCAAUGAAAUAUGUCUGUCUGUCUGUCUAUCUAUCUAUCUAUCUAUCUAUCUAUCUAUCUGUGUGUGUGGUAAAAUCUCCAUGCAAAACAUAAUGCGUGUUUUUAUAGUGUCGCGUAAUUAACUAAGAAAAAAAAAGUAUUAGGUUAAAUGAAAUUCUUCUUACUAAUGUACGAUAGUGUGCAUUUGUGUACGAAAGUGAUUACCUUCCAUCUACAGACCGAGAAGAUUUUGUCUUAUCCUACACCUGUAUCUCUCCCGUACCUCACCACUUACCCACCCACUCACUCUCUCACCCUCCCCCUCUUAUCCUUCCCCCGCCACACAAUCCCCUGCCAUUCCUCUGACCACACCUGAUCCUCUGAAAAUUACCCUUUCCCUCCUCCUUCCCUCUCCACUCUCCCUCCAUUCCUUCCCUUCCCUCUCUCUCCCAAGCGCUCACCUUUCACUCUCCCUCCUUCAACCUCUCUUUUUAAAUACCACUUUCACGUCCCUCAACAGACAACGGGGCGGGAGUGAGAUGGAAAAUAGAGAGAGGAAAAAAGAGAGAGGAAAAUAGAGAGAGGAGAGAGAGUAGGAGUGACACAAGGUUUCCCAACAAGUAGGCAUCCUUGGCACCCCUUACCUGCCCCAACCCCCAACUCCCACCGACACUAACCCGUUAUCCGAACCCCACUACCUCCGCCCACACACUGCCCGGUCCCCCCCUCCCCAUCCACCCUAUUUUCAUGGUAAUAUUGAGGGGAGGGGACGGGUCGACUUUCUAAUGGCGGAAAGCUGAGUUUAAACACCCAGCCUCCAGUCUUUCUCCCCCCCCUCAUACCCCCAGGCAGCCAAAUGGAGGAGGGCAUGGGAGGGGCGUGAGUGUCAAGCAGGAAAUACGGCACCACUCGUCACACUCCUCUCAGUUGCAUGGUAAUUCCUCUCGUUUAUUGGCGGUCUGUAGACGAGUAAUCCACCACCUAACCUGCCUAUUGCCUCUCACCACACUCUUCUCCUCUCCCUCCGUCGCCAUCUCUCUCCUCACCCACCCACUUCACCAUUCGCGCGCUUUCAUUACAUACACAUCCUCCUCCUCGUCCUUCUUCUCCUCGUCUUGUCCGUAUCUGUUACCACCACCCACGCCUUGCUGACUCGACUUUAUCACCUCACAUUGGCCAGGCGCUGAUAUGUGUAUAUGUGUGUGUGUGUGUGUGUGUGUGUGUGUGUGUGUUGUGUGUGUGAGUGUGUGUGUGUGUGUGUGUGUGUGUGUGUGUGUGUGUGUGUAAUAGAGAGCUCCACCAGGGUUUCUCCAGCGUGGUCAUGCAAGCCGUCCAUCAGCAUCCCACCGCUGGCACGUCCCUCCCGCACCGCCACACAGGCGUGGCGUCACCCGCCAUCGCCAUGCAGCGGAAGGCCCGGCGCCUGCCUCAGCACACUGACGUCUGUUACUGUCCCACCAAGGCCCUGUCAUAGUUGUGGUUGUGCUGUGUCAGGCACGUUACGGAUUCAGCGAUUAAGGAAGCGAGUCUCACGAGAAGCCUUAUCAUGGGUCCCGCGGUGGCCGGCGCUGACGCAUGUGUGGGCAAGGCUGCGCAAAGACAACACGAGGUCCUUGGGGCGGCUGGGGACGGCGCCUUCCUUGUUUAGUGGGAAAAAACACGAGGCGCAGUUUCCGAGUGGGCGCCCGACCAGUUGCCCAGUGUCCACACACCGCGCCGCUCCGCUCUGCGCCGCGAGGGUGUGCGGCGGGGCACACAUAGGUCGCCGCCAGCAGGUGUGGGGACCAGGCAGGAUCACCCAACCCGUUUGGUUUCCUUCCCACCCACACCCCGGGAAGGAACAAGGCAUGGUCAAGCAGCCCUUCCAGGGUGCGGAGCGCCACUGCCCGACCUGCAGUGUACCGCCGCCACAGCCGCGCCGUCCCGGCUUUUAACUCAUUGUCGGAAAUGGGCUUCCAUAAGAGCAGAUUGCAGCUUUCUUUAGUCU